AAUAGAUACCCUGGUAGUCCACGCCGUAAACGGUGGGUACUAGGUGUGGGUUUCCUUCCUUUAGGGAUCCGUGCCGUAGCUAACGCAUUAAGUACCCCGCCUGGGGAGUACGGCCGCAAGGCUAAAACUCAAAGGAAUUGACGGGGGGCCCGCACAAGCGGCGGAGCAUGUGGAUUAAUUCGAUGCAACGCGAAGAACCUUACCUGGGUUUGACAUGCACAGGACGCCGGUAGAGAUAUCGGUUCCCUUGUGGCCUGUGUGCAGGUGGUGCAUGGCUGUCGUCAGCUCGUGUCGUGAGAUGUUGGGUUAAGUCCCGCAACGAGCGCAACCCUUGUCUCAUGUUGCCAGCACGUUAUGGUGGGGACUCGUGAGAGACUGCCGGGGUCAACUCGGAGGAAGGUGGGGAUGACGUCAAGUCAUCAUGCCCCUUAUGUCCAGGGCUUCACACAUGCUACAAUGGCCGGUACAAAGGGCUGCGAUCCCGUGAGGGUUAGCGAAUCCUUUAAAGCCGGUCUCAGUUCGGAUUGGGGUCUGCAACUCGACCCC
Molecule: ribosomal RNA, 546 nt
Filed under: uncultured bacterium
Lineage: Bacteria
Description: bacterial SSU rRNA
Rfam family: Bacterial small subunit ribosomal RNA
Source: RNAcentral